CAUCACAGUGCAGCCCCACCUGUGUUCCAUGGACCCCUUUUUGAUGUCAUGGCCUAUCGUAUUUUCUAGUUUAAUGAUAUAGAAACGUUCCUCCAGGAGAGCAGGAUAUGGGAAAAACAACCAAGCUCCUCCCUCCGAACAAUUACAACUUUGAAAUUAAGAAGCUCCAGCUGAAAGUUUUGGAAAAGAAAAAUAACCACUGUUUACUAAAGAAUAUGUAUAUAUAUUUAUAUAGUUUCCUUCUGGACAAACUGUCCAGACCACAGCUGGAUAAACACAUCACGUGGUGAGUGGGCAACUGGCUCCCAGGUUGGGCACAAAGAGUUACAGUGAAUGAGGUGACAUCAGGCUGGCACCAGUCACUGGUGGGGUUCUGCAGGGCUCCAUCCUCAGCCCAGUUCUCUUCAACAUCUUCAUAAAUGACUUGGACACAGGACUGGAAGGAAUAGUGACAUCCAGCACUCAGCUUUCACUCCAGAAUAAAGCUGUUCAGCCUGGUGAACACAGACCUUCCACUCCUCCCAAGUACAGCAACCACAGCAUUACUUAAUUUCUUUGGAUGAAAGAAAUAAACAGCAUUUAAGUGUCACUGUAACAAUUCUAUAUCCUUUCUUA
Chiroxiphia lanceolata (lance-tailed manakin) is the source of this 615-nucleotide long non-coding RNA. RefSeq lists it as uncharacterized. NCBI's taxonomy places the organism in Eukaryota, Metazoa, Chordata, Aves, Passeriformes, Pipridae. The transcript is spliced from 3 exons. The record is from RefSeq and is a predicted model, not a curated record.